GUAAGUACAUGUUUAUGUCAUUUUUUAAUCUAAGUAUAGUGUAGCUUUGUAAAAACUGAAAUGUUAUUGUUAAUACAACAACUAUGCUAGCUCGGUUUAUGCUUCAGCUAUCAAACCCAUACACCAAGUGACAGAAAUGAGCUAACUGGGUGUUGAUGGACAAGUAUAGAGACGAUCAGAAGGAGCUUCACUGUGUCUUUGUGAAUUUAACCCCGAGAUGAUUUUCUGGGCUACACUUAGUAACUACAAACACAGCAGCCCAAAGCCCGUCAUAACUGCCGCCACAGAGAAGAACUGCAGUUGCUGGGAAAAAAGACCAGAAAUAUACCAUCCAGGUGCCAGUGGUGAAUUCACAUGCCAGAGAGUAAGAAGACAUCUUAUUUUAAAUAUGAAGAUGAUUUUGAUCUACAUCAUCAUCGCAACUCCAGCAAUGACCGCUGUGCCACAAGGGUCUUCAGAAUGCAAUCUAACUGAACCUGGACCCCAGACGUGUUUUGGAGUUUUAGGAGAACCACUCGUUUUUUACAUACCUACUAAACCACAUAUGAAGACAAGCUUGAAAAAGAGUACAGAAAAAAUUUUAACCUUAAUAAAUGAUACAUUAAUUAGUCUCAAUGAAAAAUACAAGAAUCGUACUAUAUUUUUCCCAAAUGGAACAUUGAAACUCGAAAAAGCAACAAAAAAUGACUCUGGAGAGUACAGCAUGGAAACACACAGUUCUACUGACGGUGUGUUAUUGCACACAGUUAACAUCCAUCUACAUAUACUCGCUCCUGUGUCAGAACCAGCUGUUAUGCAGAUGUGUUUGUCACCAAAACAGAUGACAGUCAGCUGUUUCUCUGAAGGAGAUGAAGUAGAGCUCAUUUUGUCUUUGGAUGAUAAGUUGUUGAUACAGACUACAGCCAACAGUACAGAAAACAACAGCGUUUCAAAUGUUACCAUCAACUUACCUGGUCAGCUAAUGGGAAACCUGACAUGUGUUGCUCAAAACAAUGCCAGCAGAAAACAAACUAUCACCCACCUUACAAGCUGCACAGCUCCUGUGUCAGAACCAGCUGUUUUGCAGAUGUGUUUGUCACCACAACAGAUGACAGUCAGCUGCUCCUCUGAAGGAGAUGAAGUAGAGUUCACCUUGUUUUUGGAUGAUAACUUGUUGAUAAAAACCCAACCUAGCAUUGCAGAAAACCGCAACAUUUCAAAUGUUUCUAUCAGUUUACAUGGUCAGCUGCUGGGAAAGCUGAUGUGUAUCGUCCAAAACAAUAUAAGCAGAGAACAAACCAUCAUCCACCUUAUAAGCUGCACAGGUAAUAUAAAAAAAAUAUUACGUUCUGUUAUAUUUAAAUAGUGAUUUAUUUUAUUAUUUUAUUUAGUAUAGGUAUUUAUAGGAGUUUUUCUCAUUUUAAAUGAUUUAUUUUAUUUAUUUUAAAUGCUGAAGCAUAAAUUGGAAGUACGUAUGACUUGAAGACUCUUGGCUCUUGACGGAGCCGGUCGCACUUUCUCCUUCUCCCUCUCCCUUAUCUUUCCUGCUUGGCUUCUCAUGUCUGAGGUGUUUUUUCUGUUCUCAAACUGAUCUCCCUGUUGGAGCGCAGUCUGGGGUUCUUUUUUCUCCUUGUCUUUCCUCAUGUUGUGCAUUUUGCAUUGUUAUACCCCUCUGACCUGUCUUCCCCAUGUGAUGUAGUGUAAUGUAUGUAUGGUCGGAAGGGUAAGAUGGCCCUGGCAAAGGUCGGCAGCCUUAACCCAAUUUCCUUUGGGGUCAACCUUCGGGAUCAAUAAAGUUUUAUUGAAUUGAAUUGAACAUUGUAGCCCAGUAAACUAUAUUUACAUUAUUUCAGUAAUUUCUUCUUAAUGGUUUUAAUUUCUAGGUAAUAUUUCUGACCACUGCAUUGUGACUGUGGCUGUGGUAGUAAGCGCUGUUGCCAUUCUACUCAUUCUGGCUGUGUUUCUUGGUAUCCGGAAAUUCAAAAACACAACUGGCAUUAUGACUGUUAAUGAAGGUAAGAUUUUUAUAUUAAAUGUGUUGUCUUUAUCAAUUUUGUCUCAAUGAUCACCACACAGAAGUAUAUGCUAAAUUGUUAUAAAACAGUUAGUGGCAAUAAUUUGUUGGACAAAAGGAUAUUUUUGUAGCGUUGUAGCAACUUCUGUACAGGACCACAAUUGAUUUCAACCCAAACAGUCAAUAUGUGAUUGAAAUGCUGACUUUCACCUUUAAUUCAAAGAAUUUUAUAAAAGUUUUUCAUUAAAUAUUUAGUAAUAUUUACCCCUCAUUUGUAAAAGGCUGAUGGGUUAUUGUCUUCACCCUGUUAAGCAGAUGGGCAGGCGGGACACCCAAGUUUGUGAAUGUGAUAAUUUGAGAAUAAAGAAACGUAGCAAAUGUAUCAAAAGUUAAUUAAAGUCAUAUCUACAAAAAAUCUUGGGUGAGUUCGAAUCUCAGUGAAAUAGACCUCAAAAUCAGAGAUCAAGUUUUCUGAAAAUCUUGUGAAUGUGCUUGUGAGAACAAAGCGACGUGGGAUUUUGAAAGUGAUAUGAUAGGCUUUUUUCUACGUGGACACUGAGGGUAACACUGGCCACCACCAGUAUUUUUUUUAUUUCAGUCUCCAGUUUUCAAAGGAAUAAAAUUUUACUGGAGAAACUAACAUGAUCUAAUUCAAUCUUGCAGUAUGACUGCCUACAACCCAUAGAGCUUACAAUGCUACUUUUUCUUUCCUUGUGUUGCCACAAGCCACGUGUUGCUAGUUUGCAGCUUAUCAAUUUAAUUAUGUAUUUAAUAGUUGAAUCCCGGCAGAGAUGGGGUUGCUUCAUGAUCAUUCUACUUCUAUCAGCAGUCACAUCAUCAGCAAGCAUGAUUGACCCAUUUGCCCAUAACAUUACUUUCUUUUCUUUUUUUUCUUUUUCUUUUUUUUCUUUUUUUUGCCUGUCCCGUUUGGCUCUUUUGCCAUCAGAAUUAUUGUCUAAAGGCAAAGAAAGAUGCCCAACGGAUUUACUUUACCAAGUUGACCAUCCCAGCCUUGCUGUAAUGGUCUAUUUGAUUCACCUUUUAUUGUUUAUUUUAUUUUCACUUGCUGAAUACGGGACAGACUUGGCUGGGGGAAAGAAAGAGGGAAAGAGAAACAGCUGAGAAGAGGGACGGGGGAGAAGGGCAAAAAACAAAAACCAACAGAAUGGGCAGAAAAAGAAAAUGCAUAUAUCGAUCACCUGGAUCACCUGUUGAGAAAGAAAAAAGAAAACAAGCAGAAGUAAACAAGAGUAAUAGAAUAAAUAACAUCACAAUGAUAUAUGGGAAUAUGACAGUAAAUACUAAAUAUUAAACAUUAUUGUGCAGCACGUGCUCCUACCCCACAGUGUGCUUUGGGGUAGGAGCCAAAAAGGGUGUAGUUUGUACACAUAACAUUACUUUCACCUAGUAAUACAGUCUGGUAUCCUUGGGCUCAUGAGCGAUUUCACUCCUUUUCCAUACUUUUCUCCUCCCUUCUGAUACAAGUUAAUAUUGGUUUCAUCUGUCCAGAAAAUUUAUUUCAGAAAUGUGCAGGCUCUUUUUAGAUCAAGCCUCACCUUACUCUGCUGGAGUGUAACUAUUGGUUUGCAGCUUGUAAUGAACUUGUUAUGUUGUCCAUUUCCACCCCGAAAGGUACUUUACUUUUUGGGCACUCUUCCUUAUACUCACAUUUAAAAUGUACAGCAAAAAGCUUCAAUUACAAAUUUAGAGCUUUUGUAUGAUUUUAGAUAUGAUGUCGGCUUCAUUUUUCAGGAAAUAAAAAGGAAACAGAACUUGGCCUUAAUGCAGCUUGUUAAUCAAUUGUCUAAAUAUCCAGUUUUGAGCCUCUGAAAUUGAGGGUCUAUUUUUUUAAGCCUUGAAUUAAAGCUAAUUAAAACUGAAGUCUUUCCUUCAAUCACACGUAUUUGUUUUAUUUGAAAUCCACUGUGGUGAUGUACAGAGCAAAAAAUACAAAUAUUGUGUCAUUGUGAAUCUUUGUGAAAACUUUCUUGUUUUCAAUGUACAACAUCAGCGUCUUUUGAUUACACAAGACACAGUUUUCUGUUUCUACUUCUUUCAGAUGAAGCUGAAGAGGACGUUGUCUACUCAGAUAUUAGACUGAAGCAGCUUGCAAGAGAAUCAAGAGAAACACCACCUAUUUCAAAUCAAGAUGAAAGUUAACAUUCUCCUAAACAGUCUGACAUUCUGAAACCUAAACCCUAACAUGUUGACUUUCAGUCAACUGUCUAAUAAAACUAUGGCACUUUAGCAAUUCCAUCUUUGCAGUGAACGUGAAGGUAAACAUAUUUAACAAGUACUCACUGGAUUAUUAAUUUUGAAGGAAACAUAAAGGGGGGGAAAGUUAUUUAGAAGGCAUUUGAUAUACAUGAAAUACUUAUUUAUACUUAUUUAUAAAUGCUUUAUAUUUGAACUACAUUUUAUUUGACAUAAUUUAAAUAAACUACAUCAACCUUGUAAAGGUUCUAACCAACAUUUAACCUUGGAGAUUAAAUAAAAGGCUUUGAUCAGUGAUGGUGCUUUCCUUGUGUUGUGUUAAGCAGACGUGGGCUGUUCAUUUUGUUUGAGAUAAAAACAUCAGGGCUACUUUUUCCUGUGUUGUCAUGACAUUAAAACCACAAACUAUAUCCUGUUUUCAC
Astatotilapia calliptera (eastern happy) is the source of this 4629-nucleotide long non-coding RNA. The record is from Ensembl. NCBI's taxonomy places the organism in Eukaryota, Metazoa, Chordata, Actinopteri, Cichliformes, Cichlidae.